RNAcentral lists this ribosomal RNA (253 nucleotides) under uncultured bacterium. RNAcentral describes it as "partial 16S ribosomal RNA". It matches the Rfam family "Bacterial small subunit ribosomal RNA", at positions 524 to 776 of the family's 1533-position model. The record is from RNAcentral.
UACGGAGGGUGCGAGCGUUGUCCGGAAUCAUUGGGCGUAAAGAGCGCGUCGGCGGUCCGGUAAGUCCGCUCUGAAAGUCCGGGGCUCAACCCCGGGAGGCGGGCGGAUACUGUCGGGCUAGAGUCCGGAAGAGGCGAGUGGAAUUCCUGGUGUAGCGGUGAAAUGCGCAGAUAUCAGGAGGAACACCAAUGGCGAAGGCAGCUCGCUGGGACGGUACUGACGCUGAGGCGCGAAAGCGUGGGUAGCAAACAGG